GUGCUCGGACGACGCACCCAACCCAAUGUGAACGUUACCAAACUGUUGCCUCGGCGGGAUCUCUGCCCCGGGUGCGUCGCAGCCCCGGACCAAGGCGCCCGCCGGAGGACCAACCAAAACUCUUUUUGUAUACCCCCUCGCGGGUUUUUUAUAAUCUGAGCCUUCUCGGCGCCUCUCGUAGGCGUUUCGAAAAUGAAUCAAAACUUUCAACAACGGAUCUCUUGGUUCUGGCAUCGAUGAAGAACGCAGCGAAAUGCGAUAAGUAAUGUGAAUUGCAGAAUUCAGUGAAUCAUCGAAUCUUUGAACGCACAUUGCGCCCGCCAGUAUUCUGGCGGGCAUGCCUGUCCGAGCGUCAUUUCAACCCUCGAACCCCUCCGGGGGGUCGGCGUUGGGGAUCGGCCCUCCCUUAGCGGGUGGCCGUCUCCGAAAUACAGUGGCGGUCUCGCCGCAGCCUCUCCUGCGCAGUAGUUUGCACACUCGCAUCGGGAGCGCGGCGCGUCCACAGCCGUUAAACACCCAACUUCUGAAAUGUUGACCUCGGAUCAGGUAGGAAUACCCGCUGAACUUAAGCAUAUCAAUAAUACGGAGGAA
This 591-nucleotide ribosomal RNA is filed under the name Trichoderma harzianum. RNAcentral describes it as "eukaryotic LSU rRNA". The stretch from base 202 to 355 matches the Rfam family "5.8S ribosomal RNA". Lineage: Eukaryota; Fungi; Ascomycota; Sordariomycetes; Hypocreales; Hypocreaceae. The record is from RNAcentral.